Diceros bicornis minor is the source of this 2139-nucleotide long non-coding RNA. RefSeq lists it as uncharacterized. NCBI's taxonomy places the organism in Eukaryota, Metazoa, Chordata, Mammalia, Perissodactyla, Rhinocerotidae. The transcript is spliced from 3 exons. The record is from RefSeq and is a predicted model, not a curated record.
UCUUCCAAGAUUCCAUCCAGGUUACCAGAUUGCAUUUGGUGGUCAUGUCUCCUUAGGCUCCUCUUGGCUGGGAUAGUUUCUGAGACGUUCCUGGUUUUCGAUGACCUUGACAGUUUUGAGGAGUACUAGUCAGGUAUUCAACAAGAAGGGGAGAGGAGCUUCUCUAGUCUCACCAACUGCAGCCUCACUCUUCCUGUGUAAUUUCUAAAUAGGAGGUAGAGCAAAUAUUCUGGACUGUUCUCAUGGAAGCUCACGGGAAUCAUGAUUAUUUCUGUGAACUCACCAGCAUGGCCACUUCGUUGGACUUGGGACUUCCUUUAUUCCUCAAGUUGGCCACCAUCGUCAUGAGAAGAGCCCUUCUGACCACCUGCUCUGCUUUCACCUCAGUCCAAGCCACCACCGUCUUGGGCCUGUAUUCAUGUUGUGAGAGCCUCCCACUCCUCUCAGCUUCCCCCUUAGUCUCUCCUCGUCUCUAGCCACACCUUUGCCAAAGUAACCCUGUCAAGGCCAAUGGUGUCAUCCCUGCUCAAAACUCCACAGUGAGUCUGCACAUAAUUUAAGCUGCACUAAUUCACAUCUCUUUCGUGGGGAAAAUGAACUCACCCUCCUCCAAAAGUUGAGUCUCCUGAUUUCAUCAUCUAAAUCAAGUCCAGAUGCAGAUAAGAUUUCUCGGACGAUACUCUUCAGUGAGCUUUUCUGGUGUGGCUGCACUUCACAUGGUGGCCAGUUUCAAACAAUUUCAACACAGGGCAAGCCGCAAUGUACAAGAACUUUCAGAUUUCUGCUUAUGUUGUGUUUGCUAAAGGCCUAUUGCCCAAAGAAAUCACAUGACCAAACCCAGAGUCGGUGUAGGAGAUGACUCUCCAAAAAUGAGGAUGAAAGGGUGAGAUAUUGUGACAAUUUUACAGACUAUUUGCCACAGUGAAGGAGGAGGAAGUAGUGGAAAUUGAUUGAGUAAAGCCAUGAUCUUGGGAGACUGUAUUGUAAGGAUCUUAUAUGUGUCAUCAUUUUAAGGCAUUAAGACAUUUUUGUACACUUCAUUUUCUAUAAGUGGCAUUAAAGAAUAAAGAAGUAAAAUUUAUGUUUUCCAAGAGGAAUUUGUAGAUGAGAAAAUAAUGCUCCUUUUUCGGUAUUAUGUGAUGAUUUAUGUUCUUUGAGUAUUCCUUCUUCUCUUGCUUGCUGGCUCCUCAUGUCAUCGCAGAGCACCAGUGACACCAUGUAUUCCAUAUUUUAGGGCCCAUGAAAAUUCCCCAAAUAGCUUCAUCUGGCAUACCCAUCUUGUUAUAGUCCCAGCACAGACCUUGAGUUUCUUUACUGACAUUCUAGCAGCGGGAGCAAAAUCAGUGCAGCAUUUGCCUAAGUAAAAUGAAAAGACAACCUAAGAAGCGGGAGAAAACAUUUGCAAACCAUAUAUCAGACAAGGAGUUAAUAUCCAAAAUAUAUAAGGAACUCUUACAAAUCAAUUGCAAAAUACACAAAUAAUCCAGUUAAAAAAUGGGCAGAGGACCUGAAUAGACAUUUUUCCAAAGAAGGAAGACAUGUGGCCAGUAGGUACAUGAAAUGAUGCUCAACAUCACUAGUCAUCAGGGAAAUAAAAAUCAAAACUACAAUGAGAUAUCACUUCAAACUUGACAAAAUGGCUAUUAUAAAAAAGACAAGAUAUAACAAGCGUUGGUGAGAAUGUGGAGAAAAGGGAACCCUAGUGCACCUUUGGUGGGAAUGUAGAUUGGUGCAGCCACUGUGGAAAACAGUGUGGUGGUUCCUCAAAAACUUAAAAAUGGAGCUACCAUAUGAUCCAGCAAUUCUACGUCUGAGUAUAUAUCUGAAGGAAAUGAAAUCACUAUCUCAAAGAGACAUCUGCACCCUCAUGUUCAUUGAGGCAUUAUUUACAUUAACCAAGACAUUGAAACAACCUAUGUGUCUAUCAGUGGAGAAAUGGAUAAAGAGGUGGUAUGCAUAUACACAACAGAAUAUCAUUCAGCCAUAAAAAGAAGGGAAUCCUUCCAUUUGCAACAGCAUGGAUGGACCUUGAGGGCAUUAUGCUAAGUGAAAUAAGUCAGACAGACAAAGAUAAAUAUGCUAUGAUCUCAUUUAUAUGUGGAAUCUAAAAAUACCAAACUCACAGAUACUGAGAACAGA